Molecule: ribosomal RNA, 358 nt
Filed under: uncultured bacterium
Lineage: Bacteria
Description: bacterial SSU rRNA
Rfam family: Bacterial small subunit ribosomal RNA
Source: RNAcentral
AGAGUUUGAUCCUGGCUCAGGAUGAACGCUAGCUACAGGUCUUAACACAUGCAAGUCGAGGGGAAACGAUAUUGGAAGCUUGCUUCCGAUAGGCGUCGACCGGCGUACGGGUGAGUAACGCGUAUCCAACCUGCCCACCACUUGGGGAUAACCUUGCGAAAGUAAGACUAAUACCCAAUGACAUCUCUAGAAGACAUCUGAAAGAGAUUAAAGAUUUAUCGGUGAUGGAUGGGGAUGCGUCUGAUUAGCUUGUUGGCGGGGUAACGGCCCACCAAGGCGACGAUCAGUAGGGGUUCUGAGAGGAAGGCCCCCCACCAUUGGAACUGAGACACGGUCCAAACUCCUACGGGAGGCAGCA